Molecule: ribosomal RNA, 544 nt
Filed under: uncultured bacterium
Lineage: Bacteria
Description: bacterial SSU rRNA
Rfam family: Bacterial small subunit ribosomal RNA
Source: RNAcentral
AGUGAAUAGAUACCCGGGUAGUCCACGCCGUAAACGAUGGAUGCUAGCUGUUAUUCGUAUCGACCCGAGUAGUAGCGAAAGCUAACGCGUUAAGCAUCCCGCCUGUGGAGUACGGUCGCAAGACUAAAACAUAAAGGAAUUGACGGGGACCCGCACAAGCGGUGGAGCGUGUUGUUUAAUUCGAUGAUAAGCGAAGAACCUUACCAGGGUUUGACAUCCUGCUAAUUUUCCGAAAGGAAAGAGUGUCUUCGGACCGCAGUGACAGGUGAUGCAUGGCCGUCGUCAGCUCGUGUCGUGAGAUGUUUGGUUAAGUCCAUCAACGAGCGCAACCCUUGUAACUAGUUGGAUUUUUCUAGUUAGACUGCCCCGGUAACGGGGAGGAAGGAGGGGAUGAUGUCAGGUCAGUAUUUCCCUUACAUCCUGGGCUACAAACACGCUACAAUGGCCGGUACAAAGGGCAGCCAAGUCGUGAGACGGAGCAAAUCCCAUCAAAGCCGGUCUCAGUUCGGAUUGCAGGCUGAAACUCGCCUGCAUGAAGCUGGAA